Molecule: ribosomal RNA, 488 nt
Filed under: uncultured bacterium
Lineage: Bacteria
Description: bacterial SSU rRNA
Rfam family: Bacterial small subunit ribosomal RNA
Source: RNAcentral
GGGUGAACGUCCACAUUGGGACUGAGACACGGCCCAAACUCCUACGGGAGGCAGCAGUGGGGAAUAUUGCACAAUGGGGGAAACCCUGAUGCAGCAACGCCGCGUGAGUGAAGAAGUAUUUCGGUAUGUAAAGCUCUGUCAGCAGGAAAGAAAAUGACGGUACCUGACUAAGAAGCCCCGGCUAACUACGUGCCAGCAGCCGCGGUAAUACGUAGGGGGCAAGCGUUAUCCGGAUUUACUGGGUGUAAAGGGAGCGUAGACGGUUUUGCAAGUCUGAAGUGAAAGCCCGGGGCUUAACCCCGGGACUGCUUUGGAAACUGUAGAACUAGAGUGCAGGAGAGGUAAGUGGAAUUCCUAGUGUAGCGGUGAAAUGCGUAGAUAUUAGGAGGAACACCAGUGGCGAAGGCGGCUUACUGGACUGUAACUGACGUUGAGGCUCGAAAGCGUGGGGAGCAAACAGGAUUAGAUACCCUGGUAGUCCACGCCGU